GCUUGUCUCAAAGAUUAAGCCAUGCAUGUCUUAGUGUAAAUAACUCUUAUGAAACUGCGAAUGGCUCAUUAAAUCAGUUAUCAAAUACGUGAUGGUCGCCUACUACAUGGAUAACCGUAGUAAUUCUAGAGCUAAUACAUGCACAAAGGCCCAUUCACGUGGGUUGUGAUUAUUAGAUUCAAACCGGCCUCGUUCUGGUGAUUCAUAAUAAUUGGUCGAACCGCAUGCCCUUGUGGUGGCGGUGAUUCAUCCUUAUUUCUGCCCUAUCAACUUCCGACGGUAGGGUAUUGGCCUACCGUGGCAAUGACGGGUAACGGGGAAUUAGGGUUCGAUUCCGGAGAGGGAGCCUGAGAAACGGCUACCACAUCUAAGGAAGGCAGCAGG
RNAcentral lists this ribosomal RNA (384 nucleotides) under uncultured Cryptomonas. Its description in RNAcentral is "partial small subunit ribosomal RNA". It matches the Rfam family "Eukaryotic small subunit ribosomal RNA", at positions 30 to 432 of the family's 1831-position model. Lineage: Eukaryota; Cryptophyceae; Cryptomonadales; Cryptomonadaceae. The record is from RNAcentral.